Pelobates cultripes (western spadefoot toad) is the source of this 364-nucleotide non-coding RNA. Lineage: Eukaryota; Metazoa; Chordata; Amphibia; Anura; Pelobatidae. The record is from the annotation of a GenBank genome assembly.
CUUUUCCGUCUCUUGUCCCAUGUGGGUUUCCCGUCUGGGUCUCCGUACCGUGUGAGAUCCCAUUACUUUGCUUGGAGCAUACAGUUGGAGCGAAAUAAAAGGAAGAAGUGUGAAGCCAUAUUGAAAACGGGGGCGGAUGGGAUGCCUGUAAUCAGCGGGGUGGCCCAUAUUGUGUGGAGGUGUUUACCGGUUCGGUCAGGUGCGUGUUAUUAAGGUUCGGGCUUAUCGUCUCAAUUUGAACUGCACUUGGGUUGGGCCUCUGUGGGGAUAGGCGUGGGUGAGAGCGCGCGUAUUGGGAUGGAGUUACUCCUAAGGAGUGGUGUCAAUACUCCCACCAUUUUUCCAGUUACCCACUGUAAGUGGG